RNAcentral lists this unclassified non-coding RNA (429 nucleotides) under soil metagenome. RNAcentral's name for it is "partial contains 5.8S ribosomal RNA, internal transcribed spacer 2, and large subunit ribosomal RNA". The stretch from base 1 to 120 matches the Rfam family "5.8S ribosomal RNA", at positions 35 to 154 of the family's 154-position model. The record is from RNAcentral.
GAUGAAGAACGCAGCGAAAUGCGAUACGUAAUGUGAAUUGCAGAAUUCAGUGAAUCAUCGAAUCUUUGAACGCAUAUUGCGCUCUUUGGUAUUCCGAAGAGCAUGCUUGUUUGAGUAUCAGUAAACACCUCAAAGACUUCAAUUUGUUUUGAAUGGCUUUGGACUUGAGCAAUCCCAACACCAGUCUUUACGAUCGGUGGAGGGUUGCUUGAAAUGCAGGUGCAGCUGGACAUUCUCCUGAGCUAAAAGCAUAUUUAUUUAGUCCCGUCAAACGGAUUAUUACUUUUGCUGCAGCUAACAUAAAGGGAGUUUGACCGUAUUGGCUGACUGANGNAGGAUUUCACAAGGGUCGGCAACGAUUCUUGUAAAACUCGAUCUCAAAUCAAGUAAGACUACCCGCUGAACUUAAGCAUAUCAAUAAGCGGAGGA